This 505-nucleotide ribosomal RNA is filed under the name uncultured bacterium. RNAcentral's name for it is "partial 16S ribosomal RNA". It matches the Rfam family "Bacterial small subunit ribosomal RNA", at positions 28 to 507 of the family's 1533-position model. The record is from RNAcentral.
GACGAACGCUGGCGGCGUGCCUAAUACAUGCAAGUAGAACGCACAGUUUAUACCGUAGCUUGCUACACCAUAGACUGUGAGUUGCGAACGGGUGAGUAACGCGUAGGUAACCUGCCUGGUAGCGGGGGAUAACUAUUGGAAACGAUAGCUAAUACCGCCUAAUAUUAAUUAUUGCAUGAUAAUUAAUUUAAAGGUGCAAUUGCACCACUACCAGAUGGACCUGCGUUGUAUUAGCUAGUAGGUGAGGUAACGGCACACCUAGGCGACGAUACAUAGCCGACCUGAGAGGGUGAUCGGCCACACUGGGACUGAGACAAGGCCCAGAAACCUACGGGAGGCAGCAGUAGGGAAUCUUCGGCAAUGGACGAAAGGCUGACCGAGAAACGCCGCGUGAGUGAAGAAGGUUUUCGGAUCGUAAAGCUCUGUUGUAAGAGAAGAACGGGUGUGAGAGUGGAAAGUUCACAAUGUGACGGUAUCUUACCAGAAAGAGACGGCUAACUACGUG